AUUGAACGCUGGCGGCAUGCCUUACACAUGCAAGUCGAACGGCAGCGGGGGAGAAGCUUGCUUUUCCUGCCGGCGAGUGGCGAACGGGUGAGUAAUACAUCGGAACGUGCCCUGUAGUGGGGGAUAACUAGUCGAAAGAUUAGCUAAUACCGCAUACGACCUGAGGGUGAAAGUGGGGGACCGCAAGGCCUCAUGCUAUAGGAGCGGCCGAUGUCUGAUUAGCUAGUUGGUGGGGUAAAGGCCUACCAAGGCGACGAUCAGUAGCUGGUCUGAGAGGACGAUCAGCCACGCUGGGACUGAGACACGGCCCAGACUCCUACGGGAGGCAGCAUUGGGGAAUUUUGGACAAUGGGCGAAAGCCUGAUCCAGCAAUGCCGCGUGUGUGAAGAAGGCCUUCGGGUUGUAAAGCACUUUUGUCCGGAAAGAAAUGGCUCUGGUUAAUACCUGGGGUCGAUGACGGUACCGGAAGAAUAAGGACCGGCUAACUACGUGCCAGCCGCCGACGUAA
Molecule: ribosomal RNA, 508 nt
Filed under: uncultured bacterium
Lineage: Bacteria
Description: partial 16S ribosomal RNA
Rfam family: Bacterial small subunit ribosomal RNA
Source: RNAcentral